Molecule: ribosomal RNA, 744 nt
Filed under: Paenibacillus massiliensis subsp. panacisoli
Lineage: Bacteria; Bacillati; Bacillota; Bacilli; Caryophanales; Paenibacillaceae
Description: bacterial SSU rRNA
Rfam family: Bacterial small subunit ribosomal RNA
Source: RNAcentral
UUUGAUCCUGGCUCAGGACGAACGCUGGCGGCGUGCCUAAUACAUGCAAGUCGAGCGGACUUGAUGGAGAGCUUGCUCUCCUGAGAGUUAGCGGCGGACGGGUGAGUAACACGUAGGCAACCUGCCCUCUGGACUGGGAUAACUACCGGAAACGGUAGCUAAUACCAGAUAAUUCACUUUUUCGCAUGGAGAAGUGAGGAAAGACGGAGCAAUCUGUCACCGGAGGAUGGGCCUGCGGCGCAUUAGCUAGUUGGAGAGGUAACGGCUCCCCAAGGCGACGAUGCGUAGCCGACCUGAGAGGGUGAUCGGCCACACUGGGACUGAGACACGGCCCAGACUCCUACGGGAGGCAGCAGUAGGGAAUCUUCCGCAAUGGGCGAAAGCCUGACGGAGCAACGCCGCGUGAGUGAUGAAGGUUUUCGGAUCGUAAAGCUCUGUUGCCAAGGAAGAACGUCCUUAAGAGUAACUGCUUAAGGAGUGACGGUACUUGAGAAGAAAGCCCCGGCUAACUACGUGCCAGCAGCCGCGGUAAUACGUAGGGGGCAAGCGUUGUCCGGAAUUAUUGGGCGUAAAGCGCGCGCAGGCGGUCAUGUAAGUCUGGUGUUUAAGCCCGGGGCUCAACCCCGGAUCGCACGGGAAACUGGAUGACUUGAGUGCAGAAGAGGAGAGUGGAAUUCCACGUGUAGCGGUGAAAUGCGUAGAGAUGUGGAGGAACACCAGUGGCGAAGGCGACUNNNNGGGCUG